Molecule: non-coding RNA, 88 nt
Organism: Methanolinea tarda NOBI-1
Lineage: Archaea; Methanobacteriati; Methanobacteriota; Methanomicrobia; Methanomicrobiales; Methanoregulaceae
Source: Rfam
CUGAAACAGGCAUGCAGGGUGGACGAAUCCCCUGGGAUACGGGCCCGUCAUCUGCCCAUAAAAAGAGGCAGGUGCAUGCCGGAUUCAG